AAGUCGUAACAAGGUUUCCGUAGGUGAACCUGCGGAAGGAUCAUUACAGAGCUCAUGCCCUUCGGGGUAGAUCUCCACCCUUGCAUACCUUACCCCUGUUGCUUUGGCGGCCGCCUCGCUCGCGAGCCACCGGCCCUCGGCUGGUGCGUGGCCGCCAGAGAACCCUCAACCCUCUCAUCAGCGUCGUCUGAGUCACAUCAUAAUUAUUAAAACUUUCAACAACGGAUCUCUUGGUUCUG
This 239-nucleotide unclassified non-coding RNA is filed under the name fungal sp. RNAcentral's name for it is "partial internal transcribed spacer region". The stretch from base 1 to 46 matches the Rfam family "Eukaryotic small subunit ribosomal RNA", at positions 1786 to 1831 of the family's 1831-position model. The record is from RNAcentral. Lineage: Eukaryota; Fungi.